GAGUUUGAUCAUGGCUCAGAAUGAACGCUGGCGGCAGGCCUAACACAUGCAAGUCGAGCGAAGUCUUCGGACUUAGCGGCGGACGGGUGAGUAACGCGUGGGAACGUACCUUUUGCUUCGGAAUAGCCUCGGGAAACUGGGAGUAAUACCGAAUGUGCCCUACGGGGGGAAAGAUUUAUCGGCAAAAGAUCGGCCCGCGUUGGAUUAGGUAGUUGGUGGGGGUAAUGGCCUACCAAGCCGACGAUCCAUAGCUGGUUUGAGAGGAUGAUCAGCCACACUGGGACUGAGACACGGCCCAGACUCCUACGGGAGGCAGCAGUGGGGAAUCUUAGACAAUGGGCGCAAGCCUGAUCUAGCCAUGCCACGUGAUCGAUGAAGGCCUUAGGGUUGUAAAGAUCUUUCGUGGGGGAAGAUAAUGACGGUACCCCAAGAAGAAGCCCCGGCUAACUCCGUG
Molecule: ribosomal RNA, 454 nt
Filed under: uncultured bacterium
Lineage: Bacteria
Description: bacterial SSU rRNA
Rfam family: Bacterial small subunit ribosomal RNA
Source: RNAcentral